AACUCAUCAAAACACACACAAGAAUAAAAGAAUCGUUCUGGGAGAAGAAAGAACCGGUCUGCUCGUCACCAGCACCGUUCACCUGCAUCUGCUAUAAAAAGUACGUUCUAGGAGAUGAAAGAACUGUUUGUCACCUCUGUCGGCAUCAAUUGGUCAUCUUAGAUUUUCUUCUCAAGCGAAAGCGACAAGGCUAUGACAUAUAUGGUUGACAUGGAACUUCAAAAAUCAUACACAACAACACUCAACUGUUGGAGUUUCAAUUGAAAACACCUUGUAUCUUUGUGGACUUAAUAUUGCACAUAUUUACAAUUGAGAAAACGCGAAUGCUUUGAUAUGUGGACCCGAGAAAUGGUGGAACGCACUUGGAAGAUUUUUUAGGCAGCCAAAUUUAAUUAUAUGGGACAAUGGUGACCUGGUAACUCAUGAGUCAUGGGUGGUCUCAAGAAUGUAUAUGCCAUUGGAGCUGGUACAAUCCUUUCUCUUUCUGAUGCAAUGAUUGACUUUGGUUAUUACAUCUGUAAAAUAUUUAUAGUGCAUAAAUUUUUACUAUUGGCUUAUCGAGUUGACUCUGGAGUUGACUGAGUGUGCACUCAGAUCAUCUCCUUAUUUCCACAAUUGGUGUUUUUUUCUUCCUCUUAUGUUAGGCUACUGCGCUUUCAGCAGUGUGGUGGUGAUGAAAUGCAGCUUCCCACAGUUUAAGCAUUGUGACAUCUUUAGUCAAAUACUCAAACUCACAUGAUCAUUUCAGAUUCUCGGGGAAAUGAAGAACCAGAUUCCUGAGUUUCUUGUCCAUUUGAGAUCAAAGUAAUUCCCAGAGAAUUCUCAGUCCUUUAAAUUGAUAACUAGAUGGUGCCAUUGUGUUAGUCAAAAUUAGUAGUAAAUGAUAUAAAAUGAAAAUUGUUGCUUUGAAGCAUCACUUUGGGAGUUCUCUUCAAAAAAUGCUGCCAAAUUGGUUUCUGUGGUUUGCUAUUUAGUUUUGUUUUUAUGAAGUUUUGGUAUCUAUCAGUGGUUUUCUACUUUUCCC
This is a long non-coding RNA of Lycium barbarum (goji berry), 1024 nucleotides long. RefSeq lists it as uncharacterized. The record is from RefSeq and is a predicted model, not a curated record. NCBI's taxonomy places the organism in Eukaryota, Viridiplantae, Streptophyta, Magnoliopsida, Solanales, Solanaceae. The transcript has 3 exons.